GUGAAUCAUCGAAUCUUUGAACGCAUAUUGCACUCUCUGGUAUUCCGGGGAGUAUGCCUGUUUGAGGGUAAUUAAAAAUAAUCUUUAGCCGAUUUUUUUUGGUCAAAGGAAAUGAGCUCUCCGCGUUUAUAGCUGUUUCUUGUAAUAAAUGGUCAAGUCUCAUUUUAUGCUGGAUACGUAAUAAUAUUAUUUCUCGAAAUCUUCAUUAUGUGACU
This 215-nucleotide unclassified non-coding RNA is filed under the name Ambisporaceae sp. Its description in RNAcentral is "partial contains 5.8S ribosomal RNA and internal transcribed spacer 2". The stretch from base 1 to 71 matches the Rfam family "5.8S ribosomal RNA", at positions 84 to 154 of the family's 154-position model. Lineage: Eukaryota; Fungi; Glomeromycota; Glomeromycetes; Archaeosporales; Ambisporaceae. The record is from RNAcentral.